Molecule: ribosomal RNA, 425 nt
Filed under: uncultured bacterium
Lineage: Bacteria
Description: bacterial SSU rRNA
Rfam family: Bacterial small subunit ribosomal RNA
Source: RNAcentral
GUGGGGAAUAUUGGACAAUGGGGGAAACCCUGAUCCAGCAAUGCCGCGUGAGUGAUGAAGGCCUUCGGGUUGUAAAGCUCUUUUAUCAGGGAAGAUAAUGACGGUACCUGAUGAAUAAGCUCCGGCUAACUUCGUGCCAGCAGCCGCGGUAAUACGAAGGGAGCUAGCGUUGUUCGGAAUUACUGGUCGUAAAGGGCGCGUAGGCGGCCUUGUAAGUUAGAUGUGAAAGCCCCGGGCUUAACCUGGGAACUGCAUUUAAGACUGCAAAGCUAGAGGACGAGAGAGGAAAGUGGAAUUAUGAGUGUAGAGGUGAAAUUCGUAGAUAUUCAUAAGAACACCAGUGGCGAAGGCGACUUUCUGGCUCGUAUCUGACGCUAAGGCGCGAAAGCGUGGGGAGCAAACAGGAUUAGAUACCCGGGUAGUCC